This 96-nucleotide microRNA precursor is filed under the name Arachis hypogaea (peanut). RNAcentral describes it as "miR394 stem-loop (ahy-MIR394)". Its record names the gene ahy-MIR394. The record is from miRBase by way of RNAcentral. Lineage: Eukaryota; Viridiplantae; Streptophyta; Magnoliopsida; Fabales; Fabaceae.
AGGCAUUGUUCCAUAGCCAUUUUGGCAUUCUGUCCACCUCCGAUCCGAUCCGAUUCGGGAGGUGGCCAGUAGGCCAAACGGGUUCUGUGAAUAUGU